RNAcentral lists this transfer RNA (71 nucleotides) under Sus scrofa (pig). It matches the Rfam family "tRNA". From Rfam's summary of the family: Transfer RNA (tRNA) molecules are approximately 80 nucleotides in length. Their secondary structure includes four short double-helical elements and three loops (D, anti-codon, and T loops). Further hydrogen bonds mediate the characteristic L-shaped molecular structure. tRNAs have two regions of fundamental functional importance: the anti-codon, which is responsible for specific mRNA codon recognition, and the 3' end, to which the tRNAs corresponding amino acid is attached (by aminoacyl-tRNA synthetases). tRNAs cope with the degeneracy of the genetic code in two manners: having more than one tRNA (with a specific anti-codon) for a particular amino acid; and 'wobble' base-pairing, i.e. permitting non-standard base-pairing at the 3rd anti-codon position. Lineage: Eukaryota; Metazoa; Chordata; Mammalia; Artiodactyla; Suidae. The record is from Rfam by way of RNAcentral.
CUCUAGCUAAUCUAGUGGUGAGGAUUCCUGGUUUUCACCCAGGGGGCCCAGGUUCGGUUCCUGAGCAGAGA